RNAcentral lists this ribosomal RNA (570 nucleotides) under uncultured Alphaproteobacteria bacterium. Its description in RNAcentral is "bacterial SSU rRNA". It matches the Rfam family "Bacterial small subunit ribosomal RNA", at positions 329 to 915 of the family's 1533-position model. Lineage: Bacteria; Pseudomonadati; Pseudomonadota; Alphaproteobacteria. The record is from RNAcentral.
CAGGUCACUCCUACGGGAGGCAGCAGUGGGGAAUAUUGGACAAUGGGCGCAAGCCUGAUCCAGCAAUGCCGCGUGAGUGAUGAAGGCCUUAGGGUUGUAAAGCUCUUUCGGCGGGGACGAUGAUGACGGUACCCGCAGAAGAAGCCCCGGCUAACUUCGUGCCAGCAGCCGCGGUAAUACGAAGGGGGCGAGCGUUGUUCGGAAUUACUGGGCGUAAAGGGCGCGUAGGCGGUCUGAUAAGUUAGAUGUGAAAUUCCCGGGCUUAACCUGGGGGCUGCAUUUGAUACUGUCAGGCUUGAAUCCAGGAGAGGAUAGUGGAAUUCCCAGUGUAGAGGUGAAAUUCGUAGAUAUUGGGAAGAACACCAGUGGCGAAGGCGGCUACCUGGACCGGUAUUGACGCUAAGGCGCGAAAGCGUGGGGAGCAAACAGGAUUAGAUACCCUGGUAGUCCUAGCCCUAAACGAUGGAUACUUGGUGUGUCCGGGAUUGAAUCCGGGCGUGCCGAAGCUAACGCAUUAAGUAUCCCGCCUGGGGAGUACGGUCGCAAGGCUGAAACUUAAAGGAAUUGACG